This 453-nucleotide ribosomal RNA is filed under the name uncultured bacterium. RNAcentral's name for it is "bacterial SSU rRNA". It matches the Rfam family "Bacterial small subunit ribosomal RNA", at positions 29 to 474 of the family's 1533-position model. The record is from RNAcentral.
AUUGAACGCUGGCGGCAUGCCUUACACAUGCAAGUCGAACGGCAGCACGGGGGCAACCCUGGUGGCGAGUGGCGAACGGGUGAGUAAUACAUCGGAACGUGUCCUGUAGUGGGGGAUAGCCCGGCGAAAGCCGGAUUAAUACCGCAUACGAUCUACGGAAGAAAGCGGGGGAUCCUUCGGGACCUCGCGCUAUAGGGGCGGCCGAUGGCAGAUUAGCUAGUUGGUGGGGUAAAGGCCUACCAAGGCGACGAUCUGUAGCUGGUCUGAGAGGACGACCAGCCACACUGGGACUGAGACACGGCCCAGACUCCUACGGGAGGCAGCAGUGGGGAAUUUUGGACAAUGGGGGAAACCCUGAUCCAGCAAUGCCGCGUGUGUGAAGAAGGCCUUCGGGUUGUAAAGCGCUUUUGUCCGGAAAGAAAACCUUUGGGCUAAUACCCUGAGGGGAUGACG